This 587-nucleotide unclassified non-coding RNA is filed under the name Hevea brasiliensis (rubber tree). Lineage: Eukaryota; Viridiplantae; Streptophyta; Magnoliopsida; Malpighiales; Euphorbiaceae. The record is from RNAcentral.
AAAAAAAAAAAAAAAUAAAUAUGAACAAUUAAUUAGUGAGAAAAUGUCCCACAGUUAUCAAUAUCUAUCUGUUAUUUCUGCUCUCUUGGCUCCAUUGUUCCUAUUAUCAUCAUCCCAACCAUUCAAGGGGGAUUCGCGUCUCAAGUUGCGAGGUUUGGUUGAAGCUGCCAUUCCUGAAAAGGAAUAUAUAGUGCCGUUAACUUUGAUAUCGUUCACAAUAUCUGAUAUUUAUUCAGAAUUAACUAGAUCUGCAUUGGCUGAAUCUUCCAUUGUGACAGCUUUGGAGUCGGUCACAGAAGAUGAAUCUUUCUCCCAGUCAGAAAUCUCCAUUGGAACAGCCGUAUUAUAAUCAGAAUCAAUUGCAUUCAUACGCUCUGAAUCUUCAGCUGCAGCUUCAGAAUUAAAUGUAAUUGUUGUAUCCCUAUCACAGUCCAAGAUCUCCACUGUAACAGAGGGAUGUAAAGACUUAAACUUAUCGAUAUUCAUAUCCUCGGAGUCAACUCUUGAGGACAACUCAUUUCCAUUGGAUGAAGCAUCCAUUGAAACAGCUGAACUUGAUCCAACAUCACAUUCAUUUACAAAUUCUG